UACGAAGGGGGCUAGCGUUGCUCGGAAUCACUGGGCGUAAAGGGUGCGUAGGCGGGUCUUUAAGUCAGGGGUGAAAUCCUGGAGCUCAACUCCAGAACUGCCUUUGAUACUGAAAGUCUUGAGUAUGGGAGAGGUGAGUGGAACUGCGAGUGUAGAGGUGAAAUUCGUAGAUAUUCGCAAGAACACCAGUGGCGAAGGCGGCUCACUGGCCCAUUACUGACGCUGAGGCACGAAAGCGUGGGGAGCAAACAGG
RNAcentral lists this ribosomal RNA (253 nucleotides) under uncultured bacterium. RNAcentral's name for it is "partial 16S ribosomal RNA". It matches the Rfam family "Bacterial small subunit ribosomal RNA", at positions 524 to 776 of the family's 1533-position model. The record is from RNAcentral.